UACGAAGGGGGCAAGCGUUGUUCGGAUUUACUGGGCGUAAAGCGUACGUAGGCGGAUUAUUAAGUCAGGGGUGAAAUCCCGGGGCUCAACCUCGGAACUGCCUUUGAUACUGGUAAUCUUGAGUCCGGGAGAGGUGAGUGGAACUCCUAGUGUAGAGGUGAAAUUCGUAGAUAUUAGGAAGAACACCAGUGGCGAAGGCGGCUCACUGGCCCGGAACUGACGCUGAGGUACGAAAGCGUGGGGAGCAAACAGG
This 253-nucleotide ribosomal RNA is filed under the name uncultured bacterium. Its description in RNAcentral is "partial 16S ribosomal RNA". It matches the Rfam family "Bacterial small subunit ribosomal RNA", at positions 524 to 776 of the family's 1533-position model. The record is from RNAcentral.